CCUACGGGAGGCAGCAGUGAGGAAUAUUGGUCAAUGGACGAGAGUCUGAACCAGCCAAGUAGCGUGAGGGAUGAAGGCCCUGUGGGUCGUAAACUUCUUUUGUCAAGGAAUAAAACGAGGCACGCGUGCCUUUUUGCAUGUACUUUAUGAAUAAGCAUCGGCUAACUCCGUGCCAGCAGCCGCGGUAAUACGGAGGAUCCGAGCGUUAUCCGGAUUUAUUGGGUUUAAAGGGUGCGUAGAUGGGUUGUUAAGUCAGGUGUGAAAGUUUGCGGCUCAACCGUAAAAUUGCAAUUGAUACUGGCAGUCUUGAGUACAGUAGAGGUAGGCGGAAUGCGUGGUGUAGCGGUGAAAUGCUUAGAUAUCGCGAAGAACCCCGAUUGCGAAGGCAGCUUACUAAAUUGUGACUGACAUUGAGGCACGAAAGUGUGGGUAUCAAACAGGAUUAGAUACCCUUGUAGUC
RNAcentral lists this ribosomal RNA (460 nucleotides) under uncultured bacterium. RNAcentral's name for it is "partial 16S ribosomal RNA". It matches the Rfam family "Bacterial small subunit ribosomal RNA", at positions 338 to 795 of the family's 1533-position model. The record is from RNAcentral.